RNAcentral lists this ribosomal RNA (431 nucleotides) under uncultured bacterium. RNAcentral's name for it is "partial 16S ribosomal RNA". It matches the Rfam family "Bacterial small subunit ribosomal RNA", at positions 29 to 507 of the family's 1533-position model. The record is from RNAcentral.
AACGAACGCUGGCGGCAGGCUUAACACAUGCAAGUCGAGCGCCCCGCAAGGGGAGCUGCAGACGGGUGAGUAACGCGUGGGAACGUACCUUUUGGUUCGGAACAACUCCGGGAAACUGGAGCUAAUACCGGAUAAGCCCUAACGGGGAAAGAUUUAUCGCCGAAAGAUCGGCCCGCGUCUGAUUAGCUAGUUGGUGAGGUAACGGCUCACCAAGGCGACGAUCAGUAGCUGGUCUGAGAGGAUGAUCAGCCACACUGGGACUGAGACACGGCCCAGACUCCUACGGGAGGCAGCAGUGGGGAAUAUUGGACAAUGGGCGCAAGCCUGAUCCAGCCAUGCCGCGUGAGUGAUGAAGGCCUUAGGGUUGUAAAGCUCUUUUGUCCGGGAAGAUAAUGACUGUACCGGAAGAAUAAGCCCCGGCUAACUUCGUG